AUUGUGUGAUUGCCCGUUGCUUGUUUUACAGGAUAUAUUUCCACGCGUACAGUAUAGUUGAUAACUUUAGUGCCUCGUCUUGUAAUUAAAUAAACGUUUUGUAAGUUUAGGUGCAGACUGACAAUGGGGGAAAAAGUACAGUUUGUGUGCAUUAUGCGGCUUGUUAAAUGUAGGUGCACGUGGCUUUCUUUAUUUUACUUUCUGGUUAGUGGCGAAAGCGUGGCCUCACUGUAAUUUCAUUGUAUGGUAAUCAGUAUGUUUGUAUUUAUUUAUUUAUUUUACAGAUUGGUCAACAGAAGUCAAGAUUAAACUUUUAUACCUGCCAGGCCAUGCUUAUCUGUAACUAAUAGCAGGCCUUUUAGCAGAUGGCAAUCUCUGUUAGUAGAACUUGGCACGUUGAACAGAGAAGGUUGAAAGACUGUAUGAAAGCCAAAGGAUCCUAGUGCCUGUAGGAAUGCACCGAUCAUUGGAUCGCCGUCCAUCACUAAUAAAAUACGAACGAUGGUUUUCUUGAAGGAUUGUUGUGGGUGACUCUGCCUUAUCUCAGUACGUCACUGAUGGCACAGAAUGAGCGAUCAAGUCUGGACCUAAAUCCAUGGAACAUGUAGAGAUAUCCUCUGGUAAUGCAGAUUUAUCACAGGAGACUCACUCUGGCAUGCACUGAUCACAUAGGACCUGGCAAACCCUGGACCAGGAUGAUUCCACAGUGAUUCCAGGACAGAGAAUUUAAAUUACUGUUGCUAGCAGGUGAUAACAGCUCCUGCAGCAGUAAAGAUCAAGAAGCAAUAUUUCAAAAAACGACUGCAGAAUAUUCAAAUGGUAUAUGCAGGAACCAAGCUGUAAUGUUUAUUGCUUCUGAAGUGGGAACUUGUUAGAGUGCUUCGUUUUAUCUGCUUGAGGGUGACACCAUAGAACUGUUAUGUAAAAUAAAGCACUGUAUGACUUGUUUACAUUUCAUUUUUAUAUCUAGAAUCGUUUAAAACAUGUGUUCUGCCCUUAUUUGGAAACCAGUGUAAAGCAAUUUUGUGUGUUGGUGUUUAAUUGUAAAAAUAAAGAUACAAAAAACAUUUUGUGUACAAAUCAUUGUUGGUGAUUAACAGGAAACAUCAAAUAUGGUGAACCACCUCUUACAAUAAGAACCCCAUCUGUGCUGCAUAUUAUCGGGUAUGUAUUGCACCACUCAAAGUCCUGCGCCAUACACCCAUGUCCAAGUUACUCUACCUAUUCAGCUUGUCUUCUGUGGCUGGCAAAAUGAUUGCUGUAGUUGGUAACGCUGUGUGUGAACGUGGGGUUUAAUAGUAGCAAUAGGUUUUGUUUCAUAAUUCCCCAGAAACUGGACCACUGGUUUGCAAGAUGUAGUUUCUUGAAGGAAAACAAAUAGUAUAAAAGGCCUAAAAAAAAAAAAAAAACCAAUAAUGUACCAGGCUGUAGAGGUAAUAGUAGAAAUGAAUUGGAGUAACAGGACACUCCUAAAUCAUUCAGCCUGUAAAAAAAAUAGUAACGCUGCUCUUCUAGUUAUUAAAAAGGGGUAUUUGACGAAAUAGCAUAUAAAAAGCAUAUAAAACAGUAAUUUAUAUUAAUGUGAAGAAAUGAGUUGUUGUACAUGUCGGUUACAGCGUAAAGCAAUAGUUACACAUGAUCGGUAUUUACUGAAUAUAGUUCCAGAACCUGGAUUUACGGAAUGAUUAGAUCGACUUUAACCUCACGGUAAAUAAAAUACACGAAGUUAGCAAUGUGGCAUCAAUCUGGACUGAAAAAGAAAUCACUUAAUUGUUGAAAUCGUUUUUUCUAAAAGUGGCUGCAAUUACAAAGUGCAUUCCUUAGUAUAGUAAAAUGCUCUAAAAUCCAACUGUGACUUAUACCAUGGAGAAGAAGCAAAUCAAAUAGUAAACAAUAAAACAACUUCGACCCUCUCCCCAUCAAAUAAUACUUCCUUUUUGUACUUUACGCACUUUUCCAACAAAUCUUGACAUUGAUCUUUAUAAAUAGUAACAUCUCGUAAUGCUCGGGCCACAGAUACAUUAAAUAAUUUUUCAAAGACCAUACACGUUACAAUUACCGGAAUUUACACUGGUACC
Molecule: long non-coding RNA, 2078 nt
Organism: Polyodon spathula (Mississippi paddlefish)
Lineage: Eukaryota; Metazoa; Chordata; Actinopteri; Acipenseriformes; Polyodontidae
Exons: 4
Source: RefSeq, a predicted model, not a curated record